GGCAGUCGUGCGCCGUUCGCCGCCGCGGUAACACACCGCGCUUCUGUCUUCUACCGCGUUAAAUCCACGCGCUAAAUGGCGCCCAACAUGGGAUAUCACCUUUCCUGGUGAUCAGCGGUGGCCUAAUGCUACGGCACGAACACACAUGCUGACGAUAUGGACACAGUAUGGCCGCGGCAUAUAGUCUCAACUCGGUCGGAAGUCUGUCGUUGUCACUACUAUGCCUUUUCGCAACAACCCUACAAGUCACAAGCGGUGA
This is a long non-coding RNA of Bombyx mandarina (wild silkworm), 259 nucleotides long. The record is from RefSeq and is a predicted model, not a curated record. Lineage: Eukaryota; Metazoa; Arthropoda; Insecta; Lepidoptera; Bombycidae.